Molecule: ribosomal RNA, 445 nt
Filed under: uncultured bacterium
Lineage: Bacteria
Description: partial 16S ribosomal RNA
Rfam family: Bacterial small subunit ribosomal RNA
Source: RNAcentral
GUGAGGAAUAUUGCGCAAUGGAGGCAACUCUGACGCAGCCAUGCCGCGUGCAGGAAGACGGCGCUACGCGUUGUAAACUGCUUUUAACCGGGAAGAAACACCAGGACGUGUCCUGGGUUGACGGUACCGGAGGAAUAAGCACCGGCUAACUUCGUGCCAGCAGCCGCGGUAAUACGAAGGGUGCAAGCGCUAUCCGGAUUCAUUGGGUCUAAAGGGUGCGUCGGCGGAGCGUCAAGUCAGUGGUGAAAUCCUGCAGCUUAACUGUAGACUUGCCAUUGUUACUGGCGCGCUUGAGUGCGCUUGAAGUGGGCGGAAUGUGCCGUGUAGCGGUGAAAUGCUUAGAUAUGGCACAGAACACCAAUUGCGAAGGCAGCUCACUAAGGCGAUACUGACGCUGAGGCACGAAAGCGUGGGGAUCGAACAGGAUUAGAUACCCUGGUAGUCC